This is a long non-coding RNA of Pleuronectes platessa (European plaice), 2574 nucleotides long. RefSeq lists it as uncharacterized. Lineage: Eukaryota; Metazoa; Chordata; Actinopteri; Pleuronectiformes; Pleuronectidae. The record is from RefSeq and is a predicted model, not a curated record. The transcript is spliced from 4 exons.
GGCUCGUUCAUUAUCCAUGGACUUGAAGCCAGUGAACAACGUGUCCGUUUCAUUCCUGCACUUUUCCCCUAUUUUAGGAGGUAAGACUGGUCCCUCGGGGUGGUUAUCGGACUGAGUGGGAACUACACCCAGAGAUAUCAGAGGAAACAACUGGAUCUGACCUCUCCUCUACAAACAGCACUGUGGCAGAAAAGCUUAGCGCAUACUCAGUGACCAACACCACCAAGCUCAAUCUCUGUUCAAGAACUCCAGGUUUAUCCUGAGACCCCACCAUCAUCCUGUCGGCUAUUGACAGCUCUGGGCCUGGACGAAAGGAGCAAGAAGCAAGAAUCUUGUCGGAUGGGAGACGAGGCAGAAUGAGCUUCCUGCUAGGUAUUGAGAAGGUGGGAGGAAGGAAGCAGAAAGCCAAGAGCAGUGAUCUGGUCAGCAUUGCAGGCCCACCAACUGGAGAAUGUUGUGGUUGAGGGUCGAGACACUCAAUGAUGGUUGGGUACCACCUGAUGACAUCUGCUCCUGGCCGAAGGCUACGGAUAACUCUAAAGGUAUUUAGAGAUUACUCCCCAAAAGGUGAAUGACACAAGAUUGACCAAAUGACUCCAUUUAAAACCAGAGUACUAAAUCCAAAUCACCUCCCUGGUUAAAGGUCAACAAAUCUGCAUAAUUUUUUUUAUCCAAGUUUCUAGAAAAAAAAUUGUUGCGUUAGUUUUCAGUCAAGGUUCAGAGCACUUCAGUCCCAAGCAGCUCUGACAUUGCCACCUUACUAUUAAAUUAUUACAAGUAUGAGGUCUCCCUUUGGUUUGGUCUCCCUGGUAUGAUUUGACUCAAACCUGUGAAGAAUGUUGUUCAGUCCAGUUUCUUCCACCUGAAAGCAAUCUCCAAAACGUUAUUUUUUAUCAAUUGCUGAUUGGCUAAAUUUGUGUGUGCUUAAUGAUGAUUAUAGAUGCUAAUUGUAAUUUACUUUACAAGGGUUUCAACCAGAGCUCCUUCCAGUAUCUUUAGUUAAUACAAAAUGCUGUUACCUGGCUUAUCACUAUGACAAAAAGUAUGAUCAUAAUCUGUGCAUUCCUUACCACGGAGUGGCUUCCUUAAACGACCGCACACCCAAAUAAAUACAUUUCAGAUUUAUUGAUAACUGGCCUCAUUUAUAAAACAAAAGGACGUAGGAUUCAUACGUUGCGCACAAAUGCUGAAAAUUGAGUAAAAAAUUUGAAAUUCAGAUUUACAGUGUUAACGUGUUGCUGCUGCUGCUAAUGCAUUGGGUGAUAGUGAGUACGACCGACAGGAAAGUGUCUGAUUUUUAAGGAGUAAAAAAAAAGUAUUUCUCAUCGUCAGGAUGUGAUGGGACUUGUUGCAUCACCUGAAUGUAUUUCAAUCAUUCAAAACUGCAGGGUUAUAAAAUUCAGAGACAGCUGCGAAAUUCCCAAUCCAUGAAAUUGCAAAAGAUAAUAAUUUUCAAAAUUAUGAAAAGAGGCUUUAUAGAAAGAUAAAUAUUAUAGUGUUAAUCAUAGUUGGAUGGUUCGGUUCUGUCUGUGUAAUACUUGGUUCAGCAUAAAGAUCAUUAUAACAAAUAUAUAUAUAGAAUUUAUAAGAGCUGAACACUUGUUUCCUCCUCAUCCUUCUAUCUGCAUACUCCGGUAUCAGUGCCUGUGCAUCAAUCACGCUACAUUUCGCGCAAGUGUCACCACAGCAGUUAUGUUUACAGCAACCGGACCAAUAACAUCUAACAUCAGUGGGAUCCUAACCUCCACUCUGGGAUUAUUAUUAUUUGGAAAUGGACGUUUGAACACAGUUUAUUGAUUUUUUGUGAGUGGUCUUUUGUGCGCUCUGUGCGCCGUACAGCACGGUCAUGUUACAAACACACACACACACACACACACACUAUAUAAAAAGUACAGUCAUACUUGUGAUACAGGCUCAGUGGUUAAUCAAAUUAUCAAAAACUAUUAAUCACUCAGUGAAGUGUGAAGCGUUCGUCCUCCAGCGGAAAGGUCGACAGUUCGAUUCCCAGUCUUCCAAAUCUGAAUGCCGAAGUAUCCUUAGGCAAGAUGCUAAACCCUUAUUGCCGAACAAAAAAGUGCUGCUAGUUGAUGCACUGUGUGAAUGGCAAACUAUAAUGUAAAGCGCUUUGAGUGGUUAUCAAGACUAGAAACCCCUAUAUAAAUGCCAGAGGUGAAAAGUAACGAAUUACAUUUACUAACGUUACUGUAAUUGAGUAGUUUUUUUGUGUACUUUGAAAUAUUUUGAGUAGCUUUUGAAAUGUGUAAUUUUAGUUUUACUUAAGUAGAUUUUGACUGAAGUAUUGUACUUCGGCUACAUUGGAAAUUACAACCGUUACUGAGUAAAAAAAACAAACAGUUCAAGGCGCAAGGUAAUUCUCGCUGCAGUGGUAGAUGCUGCAUAGAGUGGAUGACGUUCCCUCACGUGCACGUUCAACAUAUGAAAACUGAUCGUAAAGUUCACUGUUCACGAAAAUAUGCGCGACAUGCAGAACACUGCACAGGGAGCCACUGCAGAGCGGCUGCAGAGCCGCGGGUUGCGACCCCUGGCUCCUGCGAAAGAGCGAUUUGUUUACUG